RNAcentral lists this ribosomal RNA (484 nucleotides) under uncultured bacterium. RNAcentral describes it as "partial 16S ribosomal RNA". It matches the Rfam family "Bacterial small subunit ribosomal RNA", at positions 30 to 507 of the family's 1533-position model. The record is from RNAcentral.
AUUGAACGCUGGCGGCAGGCCUAACACAUGCAAGUCGAGCGGAUGAAGGGAGCUUGCUCCUGGAUUCAGCGGCGGACGGGUGAGUAAUGCCUAGGAAUCUGCCUGGUAGUGGGGGAUAACGUCCGGAAACGGGCGCUAAUACCGCAUACGUCCUGAGGGAGAAAGUGGGGGAUCUUCGGACCUCACGCUAUCAGAUGAGCCUAGGUCGGAUUAGCUAGUUGGUGGGGUAAAGGCCUACCAAGGCGACGAUCCGUAACUGGUCUGAGAGGAUGAUCAGUCACACUGGAACUGAGACACGGUCCAGACUCCUACGGGAGGCAGCAGUGGGGAAUAUUGGACAAUGGGCGAAAGCCUGAUCCAGCAAUGCCGCGUGUGUGAAGAAGGUGUUCGGAUUGUAAAGCACUUUAAGUUGGGAGGAAGGGCAGUAAGUUAAUACCUUGCUGUUUUGACGUUACCAACAGAAUAAGCACCGGCUAACUUCGUG